RNAcentral lists this ribosomal RNA (375 nucleotides) under uncultured organism. RNAcentral's name for it is "partial 16S ribosomal RNA". It matches the Rfam family "Bacterial small subunit ribosomal RNA", at positions 527 to 896 of the family's 1533-position model. The record is from RNAcentral.
GUAGGGUGCGAGCGUUAUCCGGAAUCAUUGGGCGUAAAGAGCUCGUAGGCGGUUCAGCAAGUCGGCUGUGAAAUUCCGAGGCUCAACCUCGGAACUGCAGUCGAUACUGUUGUGACUCGAGUCCGGUAGAGGAGAAUGGAAUUCCCGGUGUAGCGGUGAAAUGCGCAGAUAUCGGGAGGAACACCAGUAGCGAAGGCGGUUCUCUGGGCCGGCACUGACGCUGAGGAGCGAAAGCGUGGGGUAGCAAACAGGAUUAGAUACCCUGGUAGUCCACGCCGUAAACGUUGGAUACUAGGUGUGGCGUUCCGACCAACGGUCGCCGUGCCGAAGCUAACGCAUCAAGUAUCCCCGCCUGGGAGUACGGCCGCAAGGCUA